UCAAGUUCACCGAAUCCCAGGACUCACAGAGCUAUUAGAGGUCAUCCACUCUAGCCUCCCUCAGUGGGUAUUAGAAUCCCCUGUUCAAUAUCCAUGAAAACUGUUAUUAAUCUUACUACAGGCAAGAUCGUGCAGGAGGAAUUUCAGAAUUUACCCAGGCAGGCUGUGGCUCCCUGUACUCCAAUCAGAUCAGUGCCGGAUGGUUAUGUUUCCGUAUUCCUGGUGGGCCCUUGCAGAACCAUUAUUCCUGCCUUCACGUGAAAUCCAGAGCCCAGAGAGAAAGCAGCUUUCAGAGACUGCUGUGGCCAAACCACAGUCUUUGCAGAUGGACUCUGCGUGAGCAUGUGCGUGUGUGUGUGUGUGUUGGGGCAUGCAUUCCAACACUCAGCCAAGCAGACUACAACUCCCCUUAAGCCUUCACUCCCUGCUCCUACAGAGCCUGACUUCAGCCAGAGGUACAUACUAGGAAUGCCAGCUGUUGUCUUCAUGCCACUGCAAGCUGGGAAGUGGGAGAUGGUAUCAGGUUCCAGGAGAGAUGCAGUAAACCCAUGGCAGCCUCUGUCUCCCACUGACUGUAAAAGCCAAGCAGAGUGUACGGCACAGCUAUUUGAAGUCUCUGAACAAAUUCACCCAGGGACCGGGAGAGGAGGUCUGUGCCGAACCCCCUCCAGGCAGCCCUGGUCAAC
Non-coding RNA from Delphinapterus leucas (beluga whale), 686 nucleotides. The record is from RefSeq and is a predicted model, not a curated record. Lineage: Eukaryota; Metazoa; Chordata; Mammalia; Artiodactyla; Monodontidae.